CCCAUAUUAAAAAAAAAAAAAAAAAGCUUAAAUCCUCUUGCAACCCAAGCACCAUGGAGGCAUUCUGGAAAAUCCCUUGCCAGCCAGCUUAGACUAACAAGAAAGUUCUAACAAGCUACACCUGCUGUGGAAUAAUCCUUCUGUACACUGUGAAGAUGUAUUGCUCUCAUUGUUAAAAAAAAAAAAAGAAAAGAAAAGAAAAGAAAAGCUGAUGGCCAAUAGCUAGGCAGGAUUUUCGGGGCAAGAGGAUGCUGGGAAGAAGGGCAGAAUCUCUGGAGUUGCCAGCUAGAUGAGGAAGAAACAACAUGCAUGGGAAGUUCAUAGAUGAGGUAAAUGAACCUCGGGACAGUGCAUAGAUGAAUAGAAAUGAGUUCAUUUAAGUUAUAAGUGCUAGCCGAAAACAAGCCUGGUGUAGGGGAUGCUGUAGCUACAUCUGCUUGGAGGCUGGCUACAGGGGUCCCUGACCAUGCCUGGGCGUGGUCAGGGGACUUAGAGUGAGGGAUGCUUACGUGGAGUUCUGCUUUCGGUUUCACUUUUGGUUUGCUGUACAGACUGCUGCCCUCCGGCUGGCUAGGUUGCUCUGUGCUCCCGGCUCACAGCAGACCCGCUACACCACACAGCGCAUUCCGGUUGCCAUUGAGCUGCUCAGAACCGACCACCCAGCUGGGAGACUUCCACAGACCUCCCCACGGUUACUGUCGCAGUUUCUAGCUGCAGGCACCAGACUGGCUCGGACUUCCACAUACCCGUGCCAGGAGGCCUCCUGCCCUAGAGCCGAGGAGGCCUCAGCUUUCAGCAGGGCCUGCAGCUUCCCCUAGCCACCACAGGUGUACAGCCGCAUCUUUUUCAAAAUAUUGGUAAUAUUUUUGUUUAUUACAUGAAUUCAAUGUUUGAGGAGGAUGCCAAUCUGCCAAUUACCAGCCUAUAUGCAGUAAUGGCAGUUAGCUUGCUGGUACAAAUAACAUUCCUAGCCAGAAUCCUCAGGAACAGGGACAAAGAUAACCUCACCACCUCCUUGCAGGAAAUAACAGCUUUACACAAUGAGGUUUUAGAGAACAGAUUAGGUCAGGCCACAAUUGUGCAGCAAGUGGAACAGAAAUUGGAUGAUAAGCUUGGCUCUGUGUCCAAUACACUAAAGACAGAGUUCUCUGUUACCCAAGAUGAGAUGCAGCAUAUUUAUGAUAAGAUGAACACAGAGAGAUCCUCCAUGUAUGAGGCAUUAGAGGCUAGGCUGUCAGAGGACCGUGAUGAACUAAAGAAUAUCUGUAGCCAGCUAGAAACUCAGAUAGGCUCGGUGACCCAGAAACUAGAUGCAAAGGUGCAAAAUACCCAGGAUAGGGUUGAAGAAUUGGACAAUGCCAUUCAAUCAAUUAUUGAAGCAUCUAAGGUAGCAGAUCACAAAUUUGAGUCUAGAUUCAAAUGUUUGGAAGAUAAUUUACAGUACAGUGCUGACAGAUUAGAUAGGUCCAUACGGUUGAUUGCUGAGGACUCAAAAUCAGCAAAUCAUGACCUCGAAUCUAGACUCCAAUACCUAGAAGGCAGUUUCCAUUCCAUCCAGAUGCUGUCUAAGGAUGACCGUAUUAAAGACCUAGAAAAACAUAUAGAAGAGCAGUUAGAGCAAUUUACAGAUUCACUAACAUGCUUGGAAUCUUUUAUGAUGCAGGAAAUUGAAAUGUUUCAUGAGGAUAUCAUUACUAGGCUUAAAGAUCAUUGGGAUGCCUCAGAGGCAGAAUCACUCCAGUCCAAGGCACCUACUCUACCCAGGUAUCAUGAUUAUUCUUCUAAGGUUGUUACUCAUACACCAUUAGUCUACCCAGCUACCAUGGUAGAAAAGCCAGCUUCUAAGGGACAGAUGGCGUAUGUAUGACAACCUAUACAGCUGAAGGAUCUUAAGAAUAUUAAAGAAUCAGUUGUCUCAUAUAGUCUCCAUAGCCCAUAUGUAAAACAGCUAUUACAUUCAUGGGCAACCUUUAACAGGGUGAUGCCCGCAGAUUGGGAAUGAUUUAGUGGCAGCUGUACUUGAGAAUUCAUGCCAAAUCCAGUGGAAGGCAUUUGUCAGGGAAGAGGCAAAGCUCCUUGAGUGUUAAGGCAUAAAGGAAGGUUAUGAAGCCCCUCUAGAUAAGAUUCUUUGUCAGGGUAUUUAUGCGAACCCAGAGGCUCAGGCUAAAUAUGAUGAUGAUAUACUGUCCUUAUGCAGGAAAGCAGCAUUAAAUGCCUGGAAUAAGGUUUGUGAGCCAGGAGAACGCCUAGAAGCUUAUACCAUAAUAGAACAGGGACCUACAGAACAGUUCCAGGACUUCUUACAAAGGUUAACUAGGGCAGUAGAAUUACAGGUAACAGAUCCAGAAACAAGACAAUCAAUUAUAUAUACAAUAGCUUAUAAAAAUGCAAUCCCAAUAUGCAAAAGAAUACUUUUGCCUUUAAAGAUCAGAUCAGCUGCACUAGAAGAAUGGGUUUUGCAUGCAGCCAACAUUGAUUAUCAUGUGCAAGAUACUGGAGUUUGGGUAGGAGAAUCCAUCUCAUAAGGUUUAAAAAGGUAACAGGAGAUUAAAAGUUCUAGAGGUGAGGAAGCAAGGGCUUUGGAGAGAGAAGCACCUUACAGAGGUCAACGUAGGUACCAAGAGGCUAGAGGUUAUUACUACUAUGAACCAGAACCUUGGGUAGGAAGUGUCUUCCCCAGGAGACCACGAAGGCAUCACGAACCUAGAUGUUUCAGCUGUGGUAGAAUGGGACAUAUCAAGAGAAAUUGUAGACAAAUGAAUUCUAACAAUGCCUCAUAUGGAAGGCCACUGCCUUCUGGAUUGUGUAGAAGAUGUGAUAAGGGCAGGCACUGGACCAAUGAAUGUAGAUCGAACAGGGACAUGAAAGGAAACCGGUUAAGGCUGGAAAACCCUGAGAGGGGGACUCAAGAAGGCCCCCACAUCGAGAAAGUUCAGGUCAUUCCCAAUAGCAGUGGAAGACAAUCUCUCACAGGAUGAAUAGAUAGUUCUUUGCCUAUUGUGAAAAAUGAUACUGCUCUAGAUAGUAGUUUGAAUAGGGAUGAAGAAUCAAAUGUGAAUGGACAAAAUGAGAAACGCAUAUUUUGGCAAACUUCUAUUAAUGAUAAAAGACCCCAGUUGAAAGUGAAAAUUAAUAGUAAAGUUAUUACUGGCAUAGUAGACAUUGGGGCAGAUGUGACUAUUAUUACCCAAAAGUCUUGGUCUCAGAAAUGACCUCUUAGAGAGGCAAAUGUACAAUUUUUAGCAAUUGGAACUCUAUCUAGAGUUCAACAGAGUGUUAACUCGGUGGUCUGCAUUGGACUGGAAGGACAGAAAGGGAGACUGAAACCAUACGUGGCAGAUAUAGCUAUAAAUCUUGGGGUCAUGAUCUCUUACAGCAAUGGAAUACUCAGAUUAAUAUUUCUCUAGUGUCAGAUACAAAUUAUGUACAAUUUUUAGAUAGUAGAAAAGAUCUGGUAAGAUACUAUGGAAAACGGUUACCAACCAUCCAGGCUGUACAGAAACUAAGUACAAAUGAUAGACCUUCAGAGGAGCCAAAGGCCCUGCCACUGAAGUGGCUUACAGAUGAUUCUGUUUGGGUAGGACAAUGGCCUAUGACCUCUGAGAAUCUAGAGGCUCUCGAAAAGUUAGUACAAGAACAGCUAGUGGCUGGACACAUAGGGGAAACUACCAGCCCUUGGAAUUCUCCUGUAUUUGCUAUCAAAAAGAAGUCAGGUAAGUGGAGAAUGCUGAUAGACCUGAGAGCCAUAAAUUAGGUAAUUCAACCAAUGGGCUCUCUACAACCUGGAAUGCCUUUGCCUUCCUUGAUACCUAAAGGAUGGCCUAUCAUAGUCAUUGAUCUGAAAGACUGCUUUUUCACAAUACCAUUACAGGAAAAUGAUGGAGAAAAAUUUGCAUUUACUGUACCAGCUCUUCAUAAUUCACAGCCAGUUAGGAGAUAUCAGUGGAGGGUUUUGCCACAAGGAAUGCUAAAUAGUCCUACUUUGUGUCAGCACUUUUACAUCAACCUUUGGAAAUAAUUCGUAAGAAAUUUUCACAAUCUCUUGUUGAUCAUUACAUGGAUGAUAUUCUUUUAUCAGAUUCUAAUAAAGAAACUUUGGUAUGUAUGUUUGAAAUGGUGAAGAAGUUCUGCCUCAUUGGGGGUUACAGAUUGCUCCAGAAAAGAUACGAAGAGGAGAUUCUUUUUAACUAUUUAGGUUACAAGGUAGACUUACAAAGAAUCAGACCUCAAAAGGUACAAAUUAGAAGGGAUCGUUAUCAAACUCUUAAUUCUCUUCAGAAACUAUUAGGAGAAAUUUCUCAAUUACAGAUGAUUAUUGGUGUAGAAGGACAUGACUUAAAGCAUUUAAAAAUGGCCCUUAAAGUUGAUAAGGACCUAAACAGUCAAAGAAUGUUAUCCACUGAAGCAGAAAAAGAGUUACGAUGGGUAGAAAACAGAAUAUUGGAUGCACAUGUAGAUCGGAUAAACCUUGAUUUAGAUUGUAUUCUGGUUAUCUUGCCAUCCAGAGAAACUGCUUCUGGAAUUCUGAUGUAGAGGGAAGACACCAUAUUGGAGUGGAUAUUUCUGCCACAUAAACAGAAUAAAAAGUUAAAGAAAUAUAUAGAAAAGAUUACUGAUUUGAUUCUAAAGGGCAAAUCAAGACUUCAUCAACUGACUGGAAAAGAUCCAGCAGAAAUUAUAGUACCUUUAACUAAUGAGAAAAUUUCUUCCUUGUGGAAGGACAAUGAAUAUUGGCAAAUAGCUCUUACUGACUUUUUGGGAAUGAUUAGCAACGACUAUCCCAAAACUGACAGAAUUAAAUUCAUAAAAAAGACAAUCUGGAUUCUUCCCCAUAUUGUAAGACAAACUCCCAUAUCUGGAGUUCUUACCUUCUACACUGAUGCCAACAAAUCAGGUAAGGUAAGGUAAGCAGGUGAGGAAAGUAAAGUAGUUCAAAGUCCAAAUACAUCUGUACAGAAGGCAGAAUUAUAUGCAAUUCUCAUGGUACUUGUGGAUUUUACAGAACCUCUUAAUAUAGUUACUGAUUCUCAAUAUGCAGAGAGAGUCGUGUUACACAUUGAGACUGCAGAAUUCAUUCCUAAUAAUACAGAAUUAACUUCACUGUUUAUACAAUUAUAGGAAACAAUCAGAAACAGAAGUAAUCCUAUAUACAUUACACAUAUCAGAUCCCAUACAGGUCUGCCAGGCCCACUAGCACAAAGCAAUGAUGAGAUUGAUUGUUUAUUAAUUGGAAGUGUGCUAAAAGCCUCAGAAUUUCAUAAGAAACAUCAUGUAAAUAGCAAAGGUUUAAAAAAGGACUUCGCCAUCACUUGGCAAAAAGCCAAGGAGUUAGUGAGAAACUGUCCUACUUGUUCCUUUUAUAAUCAAACUCCAUUGCCAGCAGGUUGUAAUCCUAAGGGAAUUAGGAGAAAUGAGGUUUGGCAGAUGGAUGUCUUUCACUUUAAAGAAUUUGGAAAUUUGAAAUAUGUGCAUCAUACUAUAGACACAUUCUCAGGGUUCCAAUGGGCUACUGCUCUUAACUCUGAAAAAGCUGAUUCUGUUAUUACACACCUGCUAGAGGUGAUGGCAGUUAUGGGUAUACCUGCACAAAUAAAAACAUGCUCCAGCACAUGUCUCCACAAAAUUGGAACAGUUUCUCAAAUAUUAUAACAUGAAGUAUGUCACCGGUAUACCACACAAUCCUACAGGACAAGCAGUGGUUGAGAGAUCUAAUAGAACACUUAAGGAGAUGCUCCACAGACGGGCUUGGAAAGCAAAACCUCCCAAACAUAGGAUGCAUAAUGCUUUAUUAACACUAAACUUUCUUAAUGCCAAUGAGAAAGGACAAACGGCUGCAGAAAGACACUGGACAACAGGAAAAACUGCUGAAUUGAAUCAGCCAGUAUACUUUAAAGAUGUACUAACCUCUGUAUGGAAACCAGGACAUGUGUUACGAUGGGGUAGGGGUUUUGCAUUGGUUUCCACAGGAGAAGAAAAACUUUGGAUACCAUCAAAGUUGAUCAAGAUUCGAGUUGAAAAGGAAAAACCUCUUGACGAGGACAAAUGACAGGUAUUCUACUAAGGUACAUCUUAUAAACUAAAUAGAAACCUCCCCCCAAAAGGGAAGUAUUUUGCUUUUAUCUUCACAGGAAAACUCAUCUCCAGAAGUCCAAGAACACUGCCUGGGUAGAUACUUAAGAAGAGAAGGUAGCUAUAACCAUCAAACAAAAGGAAUGUGCCAUAUGGUAAACUUUACAGCUGUCUCUCAGAGAACCCUAUUUCUCUUUAUUUCCUAGUCCCUAUCCAAUUAAACCAAUGCUGGAUUUAGAGGUGGAUUUGGCUUUCCUCCUCUAAAAUCCAAGCACAUUGUUUAACUAAACUUUAGAGUUUCUGUAUUAUAUCAAGAAGCCAAUUGAUGUAAUAUAAAAUAAGAAAAGAAUUUGGGGCCUGUCUUUGUCUUUUCUUGGCUCUUUCUUUCAAGGUGUACACCCUCUCAUAAUUGUUAUUCCCCCAUGGUUGCCUUUCCAAGCAUGUUUACAUACACAGGCAAACAUUUCUCUGCUGUUUGAGUCCCACACAGCCAAUGAAGACCUGCCUGACAGCAAUCCCUGGACACCCCAGAAAGAAAAUGGGCCACACCUCCACACCUGCACUGGAUCCAACUUGCUCCAUUUCAGCUGACACUCUGGCCAGAGGUUCGGGUACUGACUUCAAUCAAGUUGAGGAUUUCAAGCAAGAUCUUCAAUCAAGCGAAUCCCAUCUAUCAUGGACUGGAUACAAUCCAUUCAAGACUUUCACUAUACUAACAUUUUCUUCCUACAGGACCCCACAUGACUAUCAUUGUCCCAUUUCAGCAGGAAAUAACUUGGAGAAUGCUACACCUCCUUUCCCCCAUUGUUGUCACGUAGGAUAGUGUAUAUACCUAGUUAGGGAUAGCUUUCUAUUGUUUAUGGUUGGGAUUGGAAGGAGGUGUUCAGGUUUGGACACCUCUUUCAGAUGACUUUAGGGUUUAGUUAAAAUAGAUAGUUAGGAUGUAACAUAAGCAGAUUGUUGUAUCUUCUUAUAUUUCACCUUUAUGAUCAUUAAUUUUGGAUACUUUACACUGUUAAGUUUUAAUCCUCUUUUAGACUAAAAGGGGAAUUGCAGGGGAUGCUGUAGCCACGCCUGCUUAGGGGCUGGCUACGGGUGUGCCUGACCAUGCCUGAGAGGGUGUGGUCAGGGGAUGUAGAGGGAGGGAUUUGUACGUGGCGCUGUGCUUUCAGUUUCACUUUCGGCCUGCUGUACAGACUGCUACCGGCAGGCUGGCUAGGUCGCUCUACUUACUACAGCACUCUCGGCAGCCAGUAAGUUUAACUGGAUGGUCUCAUGGGGCUCUUUUCCUUGGUAACAAGCCUGAGCCAUACCUUCUUCAAUCCUGCAGAAAUUCAGAGGAAAAUGGCAUCCAUAUUUAGAAUGAGGUAAAAGCUGACUCAGCGUGUAUAUUGGUCAUGGUUCUCUUUGCUGUCAUCAAAUGCCAGACAAGAAGGAGGAAGGCUUCACUUCGGAUUAUGGUCUGCAGACCGUGGUGAGGAAGACUUGUCUCCGUGGUAGCAGGAGCAUGCAGCAGCUGCUCACUCUCAUCCCCCUGUACCAGGACACAGAUGGGGCUAGACUUGGACUGGGUUACAAACC
Molecule: long non-coding RNA, 7650 nt
Filed under: Cricetulus griseus (Chinese hamster)
Lineage: Eukaryota; Metazoa; Chordata; Mammalia; Rodentia; Cricetidae
Description: lncRNA (ENSCGRG00015041670.1)
Source: RNAcentral